This is a non-coding RNA of Micropterus salmoides (largemouth bass), 689 nucleotides long. The record is from the annotation of a RefSeq genome assembly. Lineage: Eukaryota; Metazoa; Chordata; Actinopteri; Centrarchiformes; Centrarchidae.
GUUUAACAUGAUGGACUAUAGGACAGGACUGCUGCUUUUAACUGUCUGUUGGGCAGGUGUUGAUGGUCAGACUCUGACAGAAUCUGAACCAGCGGUUAAGAGGCCUGGAGAAUCCCACAAAUUGACCUGUACAACCUCUGGAUUGUCAUUCAGCAGCUACUGGAUGGCCUGGAUCAGACAGGCUCCUGGAAAAGGACUGGAGUGGAUUGCUACUGAAGCUGGUAGCAGCGGCAAAUUCUACUCUCAGUCAGUCCAAGGCCGGUUUACCGUCUCCAGAGACAACAGCAAAGAGCAGCUGUAUCUGCAGAUGAACAGUCUGAAGACUGAAGAUUCUGCUGUUUAUUAUUGUGCUCGACACUCACAGUGACUGGAGUUGGUGGAGCAGCUGUACAAAAUCCUACAAGACUCAUCUUUACUGUGCUGAUAUAUCCUGAGAAGACUUCUGUUUUUAUUUAAACUUUAUUUGUUGUUAUUAAUGAAAUCAUGAAAACUAACCCUGGGAAAGAUCAUCAAUUAUCCAACAACAACAAACACAUAAACACAAAUGUUACUGUUAUGAUCAUGUCAUCAGAAAACAAUCUGUUGAAAUCAUUUCAGCCACAUUAAUGUAUAAAUUAUUUGGCUUCUUAAGUCUGUCACAAUAUGGGAGUGGAAAAUAAUGUUCCUUUUUAUUAAAACACUAGAGGGCA